Molecule: non-coding RNA, 21 nt
Filed under: Caenorhabditis elegans
Lineage: Eukaryota; Metazoa; Nematoda; Chromadorea; Rhabditida; Rhabditidae
Source: RNAcentral
UGCGACUCUAGAUCUUUACAC